RNAcentral lists this unclassified non-coding RNA (216 nucleotides) under Glomeraceae sp. RNAcentral's name for it is "partial contains 5.8S ribosomal RNA and internal transcribed spacer 2". The stretch from base 1 to 71 matches the Rfam family "5.8S ribosomal RNA", at positions 84 to 154 of the family's 154-position model. The record is from RNAcentral. Lineage: Eukaryota; Fungi; Glomeromycota; Glomeromycetes; Glomerales; Glomeraceae.
GUGAAUCAUCGAAUUUUUGAACGCAAAUUGCACUCUCUGGUAUUCCGGAGAAUAUGCCUGUUUGAGGGUCAGUUUAAAUAAGAAUCGGUGUGGUUGCUGCCUUUCGUGGUGACGCACCGGAUUUGGGUCGUCUUGCCUUCGGUUAAGUGACCUAAAAUUUUGCAUGAUUUUUUUGGAAGGAUUUAAAUGAUUUUUCGGACCUUUUCGGUUAUGGAU